Molecule: long non-coding RNA, 2523 nt
Organism: Neodiprion virginianus
Lineage: Eukaryota; Metazoa; Arthropoda; Insecta; Hymenoptera; Diprionidae
Exons: 2
Source: RefSeq, a predicted model, not a curated record
CUGUAACGACGCCGCAGGCUCUGAUCCUCGUCGUUGUUUCGCUGCUCGAAACGAAGCCGAAGUUUCAGGAUCUCCUCCUUUUCGCACACACUCAACGAAGGAUAAGGGAGCACCGGAGGACGCGGGGGAUGGAAGUGUGAAAAGAGAGCUUUUAUCCGUCGAGCUUAAUGUCGAAUCUGAUGCAGCAUCCUUGAGCUUGUUCGUUCAACGUCGGUCUACGCUUGGCAGUGACAACCGUCUAAAACAUGCGCGGCACCGAAUCAGCACGGGACGAAUAAAUCGUAUCACGUCUGAUCUCAUUGUCAUAUUUUCAUUUGAUGAAAAUCUGAGGAAAUAAUAUUACGAAACAAUCCCACAACCUCCAUUAUAUUCAAGUGCCUUACGAUUGGUUGAGUGAAUUGGAAAUGACUGAUAAACCGAACACUUGCGUAUCACCUGAACAAACAGGUCGGAGCAUAUUACCUAGUGUUAAUAAAUAUAUUUAUCCAACUGCAGUAGUUUACACGAAGCGAAUCAAGCUUGUACAAAUUUUCUCUACAUUCUUGAAUAUUUAUCAUAACGUUCACCUCGAUCCAUAUUCGCCGUACCGACUUGUUUAAUACGAGGGUGAGAAAAUAAUUCAGGGCUUUGUGCCAAACUUUAUUACACGAACAAUGGUUCUGAUAUAAAUUAUGCCAUUGCACGUUAUUACUCGCCACGAGAGGCGAUCUUUUAAUUAUUCUUUCUUGAAUCUGUUUCGUUAACGAAGUUUUUGGACACGUUGUGUCAUUGCAAGCGCCAAACAAGGCGGAUUCUCCGAGAUUUUUAGCCCGCGCGUUUUCUAAGGGUCACGAAUCGUGUCGACGGAACGCGAGAAUAAGAUAACUAUCAAAAUUGGCAAUCGGUAAAAUUGGUAAAAGAAUAUAAUAGAAUAAAAUAUAUUAUAACCUUAUCUUCGAUACAAAUUUCGCGCGACGGCUUUCCACGUGACCGCUGUCUUGUAGACAAGGAUUGCAAGCUUCGUACCCCGUGUCGAUAAAGUGAAGACACUACACUUGGUCCGGGGUUCACUUCCGACCGGAGAAAAAUUCUUACAAAUUCGUAUUGUUUGGUAAUAGUAGAAAAUAUUGGUUUUAACUACACUCGACGGGAAAUUUCUUUUCGUUGCAUUACGUAUUUUCCAUCUGCACAGAUACCAUCGUAUGUAAAUUUUUCCUACUAAAAACAGCGGAAAUGAAUCAAUUUCGGUCUUUUAAAAAUUCACAUUGCUGAAUUACCAUCAUGAUUGAAAAGAGAAUUGAUUACUUUGAUUAUUCGUCAAAGUGUUGAUGGAAGAAAAAAAAAACGUUGACAAGCAAAACGCGGAGGGCUUCGUUUUAUUUACCAAACAGCAUCUGUUCCGGAAAUUUCCUCGUACAUUUAGGCCUCUAUGAUUCACACACGUGUGGUUAAUUAAUUUAAUUCAGAAGUGAAUGGAAAGAAAGAAAUUAUUGUAUCAACUGACAGAGUCCCACUGAUAAGUGAUCAGAAACCUCUAACAUUUAUUCUCGAAAUCAUAACGCUCGCUAACAGAUUGCACAGGUAAGCACACUUUUUAUGCCCUUUGGUUUUUCAUGACGAUAUGAAAUGCGUGAAAUCCGAGAGAAACGUUAAUCGUGAUGCGUUAUCACGUUCACACCUAUAUAUCGAUACCUCGUAAGUUUUUAUCGUCGAAAUGUAUCGCGUUUAGUCACUGCCAUGGUGAAAAUGAUUUUGUAGGAUAUUAUACGAAUUUUUAGAGAGAUUCGAUCAUUUCGUAUAAUUUUGUACAAAAAAAUUGUUUUCGCACAAAAUUUAUAAAGAUGCAUAGUUUCUCAUAAAAACUAGUGGAUUUUUAUGAAAAUGUUGUUAUUUUCAUUAAGAAAUCUCAAAAACGCUACAAAUUUUAAUAAAAACCUUAAACUGUUUCAAUACGGAAUUUCCCGAUUUUUGUAUAAAGUUAUAGUAGUAGAAAUUUUCAGGUAAGCUUACCUAAUGUCUAAACCCGAAGUGCGAAAACGUUUGAAAAUCAGGAGGAGGAAGUAGUUGUGCGAAUAGAAAAAUUACACGUUUCAUGAUACGAACGGGGAGACGUUGUCAUAGUUGACGAUUACCGUGAUAAAAAACAAACGCGAAUCAAGGCAAUAAUUAAGCGUAGGUUAUCACAAGUAGGUACCUAACCUACUUAUCGUUGGUAAAAAUCGAGCCUGAGUUGAAAUAGAAGUGUCACCUCAGCCAAAUAAUCUUCCACGAUAAACGUGAUGUAAGACGUUCCGUGCGAAUGGAAAACAAGAUAAGCGUGUAAACUAACACGUACCCUUUAAUUUGUAACAAGAAGAAACGUGAUGCAUGUUUAUAAAUAAUUCCGAGUCUUGACUCACCGAUAUAUCUGACAAAGAUAGAUUAAGAAACCCAUAUUUGUAUCUUACACUAUGACAUUUUCAAAACCAUGGGGUGGUAAUCCUUCCAAAUAUAUGAAAAUCAUACGGAUGCAGAAACCAAAUUUUUUCAUAGUCUCUGGUUUCC